AGUGAACGCUGGCGGUAGGCCUAACACAUGCAAGUCGAACGGCAGCACAGAGGAGCUUGCUCCUUGGGUGGCGAGUGGCGGACGGGUGAGGAAUACAUCGGAAUCUACUCUGUCGUGGGGGAUAACGUAGGGAAACUUACGCUAAUACCGCAUACGACCUACGGGUGAAAGCAGGGGACCUUCGGGCCUUGCGCGAUUGAAUGAGCCGAUGUCGGAUUAGCUAGUUGGCGGGGUAAAGGCCCACCAAGGCGACGAUCCGUAGCUGGUCUGAAAGGAUGAUCAGCCACACUGGAACUGAGGCACGGUCCAGACUCCUACGGGAGGCAGCAGUGGGGAAUAUUGGACAAUGGGCGCAAGCCUGACCCAGCCAUACCGCGUGGGUGAAGAAGGCCUUCGGGUUGUAAAGCCCUUUUGUUGGGAAAGAAAUCCAGCUGGCUAAUACCCGGUUGGGAUGACGGUACCCAAAGAAUAAGCACCGGCUAACUUCGUGCCAGCCGCCGCAGUAA
This 506-nucleotide ribosomal RNA is filed under the name uncultured bacterium. Its description in RNAcentral is "partial 16S ribosomal RNA". It matches the Rfam family "Bacterial small subunit ribosomal RNA", at positions 29 to 523 of the family's 1533-position model. The record is from RNAcentral.